GGUUAUGGUUUAGCGGUAGAGCACUUGCCUAGCAUGUGGGAGGCCCUGGGUUCAAUCCUCAGCACCA
This 67-nucleotide transfer RNA is filed under the name Marmota monax (woodchuck). Its description in RNAcentral is "tRNA.Ala". Lineage: Eukaryota; Metazoa; Chordata; Mammalia; Rodentia; Sciuridae. The record is from RNAcentral.